AAGACAAGGGUGGCUGGGACACACUGCUCUGUGCUGACACCCACCACUGUGCUGUGGGCGUGCUGGCCAGAGAAAUGCGCCGCGCAUCCGAAGCCGUGUGUUCCGCGAUUGCAUUCCAGCUGCUCGGGCUGCUCAGCAAAGACACGCCAUGCCGGGAUUUGGCCGCCCUGGCGUUCCUUGUGGAGGUGAGCCUGAAGGCCAGCGCUGCCUCGCUGAGCUGCCUCCCGGCUCUCUGCCCUCUCUUGGCCGCAGUGCCUGGGACGGAGCCCGCGCCCUGUGCUGCUGCCUGGGCCCGGCCCUGUGCGGUUCUGGGCUCCCGCCGGCCGCUCCCCCGUCACUGCCCUGUGCCUUUCAGGUCCUGGAGCGCCUGAACCUGAGUGAAUGCCGUGACAGCGUCCUGGAGUUCUUGUCAAAGAACCUGCAGAGCGAGUGCAGGGGGAGGCGUCGCUUGGCACUCAGAGGCCUCGUGGUGCUCGGCACCACCAGUGCCUCGAUGGCCAGAAGGAUGUGGAGCCUGCAUGAAAGGCUCGUGGAGCUCCUGCAGGAAAAUGACAGCGUCAUGCUCAGGAUGACCACGGUUCUCCU
RNAcentral lists this long non-coding RNA (585 nucleotides) under Taeniopygia guttata (zebra finch). Its description in RNAcentral is "lncRNA (ENSTGUG00000021025.1)". The record is from RNAcentral. Lineage: Eukaryota; Metazoa; Chordata; Aves; Passeriformes; Estrildidae.